RNAcentral lists this ribosomal RNA (118 nucleotides) under uncultured bacterium. RNAcentral's name for it is "partial 16S ribosomal RNA". It matches the Rfam family "Bacterial small subunit ribosomal RNA", at positions 1384 to 1500 of the family's 1533-position model. The record is from RNAcentral.
UACACACCGCCCGUCACACCAUGGGAGUGGGUUGCACCAGAAGUAGCUAGUCUAACCUUCGGGAGGACGGUUACCACGGUGUGAUUCAUGACUGGGGUGAAGUCGUAACAAAGGUACC